Molecule: non-coding RNA, 26 nt
Filed under: Mus musculus (house mouse)
Lineage: Eukaryota; Metazoa; Chordata; Mammalia; Rodentia; Muridae
Source: RNAcentral
UGAAUCCCUGGGGACCACUUUCUCCC